AGGCUGCAGUCGAGAAUAUUUAGCAAUGGGCGAAAGCCUGACUAUGUGACGCCGCGUGAGGGAUGAAGGUCUUCGGAUUGUAAACCUCUUUCGAUGGGGAAGAAAACCUGCUCUUAACGGAGUAGACUGACGGUACCCAGAGAAGAAGCCACGGCCAACUCUGUGCCAGCAGCCGCGGUAAUACAGAGGUGGCAAGCGUUACUCGGAUUUAUUGGGUGUAAAGGGCAAGUAGGCGUCUCAACAAGUUAGAAGUGAAAUCCUGCAGCUCAACUGCAGAACUGCUUUUAAAACUGUUGGGAUUGAGACUGGAAGAGGAAAGCGGAAUUCUCGGUGUAAGAGUGAAAUCUGUAGAUAUCGAGAGGAACACCAGUGGCGAAGGCGGCUUUCUGGUCCAGUACUGACGCUGAAUUGCGAAAGCUAGGGGAGCAAACAGGAUUAGAUACCCCAGUAGUC
Molecule: ribosomal RNA, 453 nt
Filed under: uncultured Omnitrophica bacterium
Lineage: Bacteria; Pseudomonadati; Candidatus Omnitrophota
Description: bacterial SSU rRNA
Rfam family: Bacterial small subunit ribosomal RNA
Source: RNAcentral